RNAcentral lists this long non-coding RNA (836 nucleotides) under Marmota monax (woodchuck). The record is from RNAcentral. Lineage: Eukaryota; Metazoa; Chordata; Mammalia; Rodentia; Sciuridae.
GUGUACGUUUUCCAACCCCAUCUUGUGGGAAUUAGCACUGUUGGGAGAAGGCCCAAUUCCCUGAUCCCACCCAUGGCCAAGGAGAAUAGAGAAGCACUAACUUGGGACUUUCUACCUUACCUGUGGGCUGCCUGGUGGACUGCUUUCUCUAUCACAUGACUCAGAACUCAAAUGGGGACAAGUGCAGGGCUCAGACCUCAGGUGAGGGAACUAUUGACAGCAGUGGUGGGCAUCACUGUAUGACCACUGCAUGAAGGAAAAGGGAUCAGGUAACACACAGCCCAACCAGGCCCUAAAGAAACUGGCAUGGGAGUUUCUGGAUAGCCAGCUCACUUAAAACAUCAGUGUGUGAAGGAAAAUUGGAGUUGGAAGCACACACUCAGGAACCAGCUUUCUUAGGACAGACUAAAGACUAUACCUGGGCAGAUCCCAAUCCUCAGAGCAAGCCCUGAUCAUCAGUGAGGGUGUUCAACAUCAGAAUCCAAAGGCUGGGCAGGUGAAUGUUUAGUUCAAAGUCUGCAUUUCAACAGAAGAUGGCAAGGCACACAAAUGAGCAAGGAAACAUGAGCCAUGCAAAGGAAUAAAGAAUCCUUAGAAACAACCCUAACAGGAAAAGACAUCAGAGUAACAGGACAUCAUCUUUCCAAUGUCUUCCUUACAGAUGUGUCAACUAUAAAGAGGAAAUGCAGGAAAACAGCAGAAGAUAAUCAGGAAAAUGUUAUGUGGAAAAAAAUCACAGUAUCAUUGAAGAGAUGUAAAUCAUAUUAACAAGAAAAAAAAACAGGAAGUUCUGGAGUUGAGAAACACCCUAAGGAGCUCUAGAUAAGGCAAAGGGG